Molecule: long non-coding RNA, 226 nt
Filed under: Musa acuminata (dwarf banana)
Lineage: Eukaryota; Viridiplantae; Streptophyta; Magnoliopsida; Zingiberales; Musaceae
Description: long non-coding RNA (MACU_LNC007246)
Source: RNAcentral
GCUGAAAGAUUUUCGCUGCACUAAUUCACCCCCCCCCUCUUAGUGCUCUCGAUCCUAACAAUUGGUAUCAGAGCGGGGUAUUUCUCAUUUCGGAUUUACACCCGAGAGAAAUGGCUCUUCAAGAGGGCUUUUCGAUCUUUCGUCCACCGUUCUUUAACGGAUUGGACUACACUUAUUGGAAAACUCGAAUGAGAGUUUUCUUGAUUUCUCUAAAUUUGGAUUUAUG